Molecule: small nuclear RNA, 103 nt
Filed under: Chinchilla lanigera (long-tailed chinchilla)
Lineage: Eukaryota; Metazoa; Chordata; Mammalia; Rodentia; Chinchillidae
Source: RNAcentral
GUGCUCACUUCGGCAGCACAUAUACUAAAAUUGGAACGAUACGGAGAUUAGCAUGUCCUCGCGCAAGGAUGACACACAAAUUCGUGAAGCGUUCCACUUUUUG